This is a long non-coding RNA of Glycine soja, 647 nucleotides long. RefSeq lists it as uncharacterized. The record is from RefSeq and is a predicted model, not a curated record. Lineage: Eukaryota; Viridiplantae; Streptophyta; Magnoliopsida; Fabales; Fabaceae. The transcript is spliced from 3 exons.
UCCACUCCCUUGGUUGCUCCACGUAUUGUUCCAGGUGUCUUCUUUUCUAACCUUUACAUUUCCCACUCCCUUGGUUGCUACACGUAGUGUUCCAGGUGUCUUCUUUUCCAAUCUUCAUCCCAAGUUUUUUCGGUUUUCUUUUUAUUUUUCCAUUUCUCUUUCUUCCAUGGCAAAAGGCUCCUUUCUCUUUCUCUCUCACUCACUUUCUUUCUCUGUACAACUUGGAAGCUUUCUCUCUCUCAAAGCAGCAAGGUCCUCCACCACCACCACCUCCAAUCUCCGUCUUUCACACAGAGAGAGAUACUAUGUGUGAGAUCAGUUUUUGGUUCAUGGAUUCCUUUUCUCUUCUACACAAUUCCAAGCAUCUAUUCUUGGUUUGAACAAGUUUUGGGCUUUUGGUGGUAAUGUGGUGUCUCACUAUAUGAAAGUUGCAGGGUGGAGGGAAAAAAACUGGUCAAUACUAAAGGCAUGUUACGGGCUGCAGGUAUGGUAUCAAUCUGGCUAAAGGUAUUCUGGAACAUCACUCGAAAGGGAUCCUAGAUUCUGACAAACCAAGGAAAUUGCUCGAAGAUUUUCGAAUUGGCAAGCUCAUCACAGGUAAUAUACAUAGGUUGCAGGUUUCUAAUUAGCAUUUUAGGAUAACUUUU